This 529-nucleotide ribosomal RNA is filed under the name uncultured bacterium. RNAcentral describes it as "bacterial SSU rRNA". It matches the Rfam family "Bacterial small subunit ribosomal RNA", at positions 777 to 1304 of the family's 1533-position model. The record is from RNAcentral.
AAUAGAUACCCCGGUAGUCCACGCCGUAAACGAUGAGUGCUAAGUGUUAGAGGGUUUCCGCCCUUUAGUGCUGCAGCUAACGCAUUAAGCACUCCGCCUGGGGAGUACGGUCGCAAGACUGAAACUCAAAGGAAUUGACGGGGGCCCGCACAAGCGGUGGAGCAUGUGGUUUAAUUCGAAGCAACGCGAAGAACCUUACCAGGUCUUGACAUCCUCUGACAACUCUAGAGAUAGAGCGUUCCCUUCGGGGGACAGAGUGACAGGUGGUGCAUGGUUGUCGUCAGCUCGUGUCGUGAGAUGUUGGGUUAAGCCCCGCAACGAGCGCAACCCUUGAUCUUAGUUGCCAGCAUUUAGUUGGGCACUCUAAGGUGACUGCCGGUGACAAACCGGAGGAAGGUGGGGAUGGACGUCAAAUCAUCAUGCCCCUUAUGACCUGGGCUACACACGUGCUACAAUGGAUGGUACAAAGGGCUGCAAGACCGCGAGGUCAAGCCAAUCCCAUAAAACCAUUCUCAGUUCGGAUUGUAGG